GACCCCAUAACUCUACCACUUC
This 22-nucleotide non-coding RNA is filed under the name Arabidopsis thaliana (thale cress). Lineage: Eukaryota; Viridiplantae; Streptophyta; Magnoliopsida; Brassicales; Brassicaceae. The record is from RNAcentral.